Brachypodium distachyon (stiff brome) is the source of this 2850-nucleotide long non-coding RNA. RefSeq lists it as uncharacterized. NCBI's taxonomy places the organism in Eukaryota, Viridiplantae, Streptophyta, Magnoliopsida, Poales, Poaceae. The transcript has 13 exons. The record is from RefSeq and is a predicted model, not a curated record.
UGACCGCUCAAGCUGCGCUCUGCAGCUGCUGAGCUCAAUCCCCUCAGCCCCGGCCGCCGCCGACCCCGCCGCCCCCGGGCUCAGCCCCGACUGCCGCGUCCCCGGCGCCCACUGCUCCGCCCCGACCGCUGCAUCCCCGGCCCGACGCUGCGGGCUGCAACCGCCUAGCUCAGUCCCCGCCGCCCCGGGACUCAGCCCCGGCCGCCGCCGACCGCCGUCCCCGUAUCAGCCCCGACCGCCGCGUCCCCGCCGCCCACUGGCUCCGCCCCCGAACGCCGCGUCCCCUGUCGUCGCGCUGCCCACUAGCUCCGUCCCGACCGCCGCGUCUCCGGCCGCCGCCGGCCGCCGUCCCCGCCGCCCCCGGGCUCAUACCUGACCACCGCAUCCCCGCCGCCCACGGGCUCGGGCUCAGCCCCAGCUGCCGCCGAGCGUCGUCCCCGCCGCCGAGCACCGUCUGCGAAGAUACACAUUUUUUUUUCUGAUUUCUUUUUUCUGAAACUCGAAGGUACCCAAUCUUGCGCAAUUGUCCCGGUUGGUGUUGACACGUAACAAAUGUUCUCAAUUUUCUGCUUUGUGAUUUUUGCUUUGUGAUUUGCGGUCAAAUUCAGCCGUCGCUCCACCUCCGCCCUCGCUCUGUAACCGCUGCUUUCAUUCCCCUUUCAUUUGCAGCAGAAACGGCAGCCACUACACCUGAAUUUGCAGGGACUUCGGGUCGGUAUUAAUGGCGGCCAUGGGGCGUGCUCUAUUUAGUCCCUUCCACGCGGUUCUUCCUCACCCCGGCGUCUUGCUGGAUUCCAGGAGCCAUUCCAAGGGAUUUGCAGGCCGCUUUCUCAGAUUUAUUUGUGUUUCUGAAGUUCGAGCGCAGCAGCAGCAAGCGAAAUUAUGUCGGAUUUUUGUGUGAAUUGAUUUCAUCUAUAUUAGCGAACUCUCUCUUGACGAUAUACAUCAGCCAUGGGAUCUCCUACAAAGUUUGGAGACAUUACUGUAGGACAACAAAAUUGUAAAGUUUUCGGCCGGCUCAUACGGCUAUGGGAUGCAAAAAAUAAAUACGCCAAGACUACUGAUUCUUUGCUCAGCAUUGAUGGAGUACUUCUUGCAGAAGAUGGUGCUAUGGUACAGAUAACCAUACCCAAAAAGGUUGAAAAACAAUUUUGUCCACUGCUCUCUCUGGGUUCUGUCUACAUGUUGACAGAUGUUAGUGAUGUUCAUGCUACAUACAAGAAGUUCAUUUACCACCACCAAAGCUACAUGCUUCAGUUUAAAACAAGCUCGAAGGUCCAUCUAAUGCAGUCGCGAGGAGCGAGUAUUCCUCGAUUUGCCUUUGAUUUCUCCCAGUUUGAUCAGCUUCCGUCAAAAGACAAUCAAUCCAAACCCCUUCUAGAUUUGAUUGGAGUCAUUAGCUACGUUGACCCAUACGACUGCGCUAGCCCAACGUCUCAGUACAAGCUCAGGAAGAUACAUAUCCGUAACCAAGAUGAACAAACACAGGAAAUAAACCUUUGGGGCGAGGAUGGUGAAACAUUUGACGAAAGCGCAGUCCUCAGCAAAUCAGAUGGGAAGAUUGUUGUUUGUGUUUUUGCUGGCCUGACCAUUGGAAAGUAUUUAGAUAAACUUGAGGCCUCUUCAAGUUCAGCUACCAAAAUAUACAUUGACAUGGAAAUACCAAAAGUUGAACAGUAUAAAAAAAGUUAUCAAUGGGAAGUUCCGGUUUUGUGCCAACAACAGCCAUAAAUUACCCAUGUGACUCCCUUACAAGCAGCAGGCAAACUCUACAAGCUGGAAGAAAUAUCUACGCUGCCAAUUUCAUCUUUCGAGACUUUUCUAAAUUUGAUCUGCAUUACACCAAGGGAGGUGCUUCAUUCAGUUGCAUUGCGAUGGUAUAAGCUUUGCUGCCAUCCAAUAAAAGGUAUUACAAAGUCUGCAAAAGUUGUGGUGAAGGGUACAACAACAAUUCGGACACACCCAGAUGCUCAUGUCCUCUUUCAAACCCCAAACCAAUGUACAAGCUUUCUCUCAAGGUCAUGGAUGACACAGCAAGCAUGGAGACAAUUGCUUUCAGUUUUGUAGCUGAGGAUUUACUUGAGCAAACUGCUAUGCAAGCCUCCCAAAACAUGAAGAUAGAUGCAUCAGAUCAUGCAGUAGCUCUUGAAAAAGCUAUUGGGAAGAAAAGGCUUUUCUCAAUAGGAAUGAAUCCUAAAUAUUUUUCUAGAUUCUCGAUCAAUCAUGUCCUGAAAAAGAGUUACAAGAUUCAUGAUGAUACCAGCCAGAACUCUGUACAGGAGAACAUCACAGCCACUUCUGAAGAGCUCUACAAUUUAUCCAUCUAAACUUAUGCAGCCUCCUGUUUCUACACUUGUUUGUUUUCCUGCAAUUGCAGAUUUAGUACACCACCAACAGUUCUUCCAAGGGAAAAUACAUCCGAACAAACUGCAGACUCUGCUGUUGAUGACCUACUUAGUACACCAGCCGCAGCUCCUCCCAAACAGAGAGAAGACAAGUCAAAAACAAAGAGACAACUUGAUUUUGACAACGACAAUGACGUGAACAGACUCAACAAACCAAGAACUGAAGAAAAGGUAUCUUCAGAGGACAGCAAGUGAUGCCGGGUUUACAGGAGCAUCAAUACUGCGCAAUGAUCCUUUCGUGGGCACUGACGCACAUCGUUAAUAAACUUUGUUAGCUUUAUGCUGUAACGUGGUUACUUUGGAUAUGUUUUAACACAAUGCCCAUGGCUGUUUAGCCAAAUUAUGAAGUGUUUUAGCACAAUGCUUUUAUUAUGUAGUUGUUUGAAUAUGUUUUAACACAAUGCCAAUAGUUGUUUGAGUAAUAAAAUGUUAUCCAAAUUCUGAA